CAGUCGCCGCGGUAAUACGUAGGUGGCGAGCGUUGCUCGGAAUCACUGGGCGUAAAGGGUGCGUAGGCGGGUCUUUAAGUCAGGGGUGAAAUCCUGGAGCUCAACUCCAGAGCUGCCUUUGAUACUGAAGAUCUUGAGUUCGGGAGAGGUGAGUGGAACUGCGAGUGUAGAGGUGAAAUUCGUAGAUAUUCGCAAGAACACCAGUGGCGAAGGCGGCUCACUGGCCCGAUACUGACGCUGAGGCACGAAAGCAUGGGGAGCAAACAGGAUUAGAUACCCCCGUAGUCCCGUCUCUUAUACA
RNAcentral lists this ribosomal RNA (301 nucleotides) under uncultured bacterium. RNAcentral describes it as "partial 16S ribosomal RNA". It matches the Rfam family "Bacterial small subunit ribosomal RNA", at positions 509 to 808 of the family's 1533-position model. The record is from RNAcentral.